RNAcentral lists this ribosomal RNA (2355 nucleotides) under Triticum aestivum (bread wheat). RNAcentral describes it as "partial small subunit ribosomal RNA". Lineage: Eukaryota; Viridiplantae; Streptophyta; Magnoliopsida; Poales; Poaceae. The record is from RNAcentral.
AUGGUGCGAGGCCUGCCAUGCCUCGACCAUGUGGAGCAGUUCUGCGACAUCUGCGAGCGGACGAAGCAGAGACGACUCCCCUUUCCCCAGCAGGCGAGUUUUUGGGCCAAGGAGAGGCUGGAGCUCGUGCACGGAGAUCUGUGCGGCCCGGUGACGCCAGCCACACCAGGAGGUCGACGCUAUUUCCUGUUGCUCGUCGACGAUCUCUCUCGCUACAUGUGGGUGAUGGUCCUCGGCAGUAAGGGAGAGGCGGCGGACGCCAUCAGGCGCGCGCAGGCUGCUGUGGAGGCGGAGAGCGGCUGCAAAUUGCGUGUGUUGUGCACUGACAAUGGCGGUGAAUUCACGGCGGCUGAAUUCGCGUCGUACUGCGCUGAUGAGGGCAUCCAGCGCCACUACUCCGCACCGUACAGCCCACAGCAAAACGGCGUCGUCGAGCGGCGCAACCAAAUGGUUGUGGGGAUGGCUCGGGCUCUCCUCAAGCAGAGAGGGAUGCCGGCUGUUUUCUGGGGAGAGGCGGUGCUAACAGCCGUCUACAUCCUAAACCGCUCGCCUACUAACGCACUCGACGGCAGGACACCGUACGAGGCCUGGCAUGGGCGGAAGCCGGCGGUCUCCAACUUGCGGGUCUUUGGCUGCCUUGCGUUCGCCAAGGAGCUCGGCCACAUCGGCAAGCUUGACGACAGGAGUACUCCGGGAGUCUUCAUCGGCUACGCGGAGGGCUCAAAGGCCUACCGCAUCCUCGACCCAAAGCCACAACAUGUGCACACGGCGCGAGACGUCGUGUUCAACGAAGGGCGAGGGUGGCAAUGGGACAAGAUGGUGGACGACGGCUUGACACCGACGUAUGACGACUUCAUUGUCGAGUACGCCCACUUUAAGGAAGCCGGGGGAGCAAGCAGCUCCUCUUCGCCGGGCACGUCUACCCCGGCCCCCAAAACUACAUCGACUCCGGUGCCUGCUACGCCGAUGGCACCACAGCCGGCAACGCCGCAUACUCCAGCCCCAGCAGUCACCACUUCGGGCUCGUCUUCAUCAGCACCAGCUCAUGCAGAGCACAACCCGAUGAAGUUCGCUUCCCCGCUCACUCACGACGAGGAGCGUAUCGACGCGUAUCAUGGCGGUGAACCGCUGCGGUAUCGUACGAUGGAUAAUCUACUAGGCGACCAGCCGGUGCCGGGACUGGUGCCAUGUGACCUGGAGGCGCGGCUACAACUUGCGUGUGAGGACGGCGAACCACGGUCCUUUGCAGAGGCCGAGAGAGACGCGGCAUGGCGCGCCACAAUGCAGUUGGAGAUGGAUGCGGUCGAGCAAAACCGCACCUGGGAGCUCGCUGACCUCCCUCGUGGUCACCGAGCAAUCACCCUUAAGUGGGUGUUCAAGCUGAAGAGGGAUGGAGCCGGCGCCAUCAUCAAUUACAAGGCUCGCUUGGUGGCCCGAGGCUUCUUGCAGCAGGAAGGAGUCGACUUCGACAACGCUUUCGCUCCCGUGGCACGGAUGGAGUCCGUGCGACUUCUCCUUGCGCUAGCUGCCCAGGAGGGCUGGCGUGUCCAUCACAUGGAUGUCAAGUCGGCAUUCCUCAACGGCGACUUGAAGGAGGAAGUCUACGUGCAUCAGCCACCGGGAUUUACGAUCCCCGACCAGGAGGGCAAGGUACUCCACCUGCGUAAGGCUCUCUAUGGCCUACGGCAGGCACCUAGGGCAUGGAACGCCAAGCUGGACUCCACGCUAAAGAAGAUGGGCUUCGAGAAAAGCCCGCAUGAGGCGGCCGUCUACCGACGGGGCAGUGGAGGAAAUGCCCUGCUGGUGGGCGUCUAUGUUGACGACUUGGUGAUCACCGACACCAAAGAUGCAGAGGUGGCGGCGUUCAAGGAAGACAUGAAGGCCACCUUCCAAAUGAGUGAUCCGGGGCUCCUCUCCUUCUAUCUAGGGAUUGAGUCCGCCUAUGCCAAGCGCAUCGUUGAGCUAGCUGGGCUCACCGACUGCCACCCAGCUCUCACUCCGAUGGAGGAGAGGCUGAAACUGAGCCGCGACAGCACGGCGGAGGAAGUGGAUGCUACGCAGUACCGAUGCCUUGUGGGGAGCCUUUGCUACCUCGCCCACACACGGCCGGACUUGGCAUUCUCCGUCGGCUAUGUCAGUCGGUUCAUGGAGCGACCGACGUCGGAGAACCAGCAGGCAGUGAAGAGGAUCGUCCGCUACGUGGCAGGGACCCUCGACCACGGCCUCCACUACCCUAGGUGUCUGGGGGCGGCACACUUCGUCGGGUACAGCAACAGCGACCACGCCGGCGACAUCGACACCAGCAAGAGCACGAGCAGGAUCCUCUUCUUCCUCGGCAAGUGUCUCGUGAGCUAG